GGCCACGGAACUCAUGCUUAGUGUUAUGAGUCGAGCUUUGGUGCCCAUCCCAAAGACAUGGAUGAACUCUAGUCAUAGCCGAUCUAUGUAUCGACUGUCGACCCUCACAUCAGCCGCUGAAACGUAGAUGGAUCUCCGACUUUUCACCAGCAUCUUUGUCUAUAAGCCAUAGACUCUCAUUUGAGUUAUUGAUCCUAGCGUUAGUUGAACCCAUCUUCAGGCACAUCAGAUUGUCAACCUACAUGCCUAACAUCUCACUCUCCGGAUAUCGAACACCAAUUCAGAAAGGGUUCCGACCCAAACGUUGUCUCCAACCAAGAGAUCUAUGGCCGAUUUUUAUCUCCAAUAGUACACUUGACAAGAUUUCAAGCCACAUCCCCUCCGAUCCAUGUCGGUCAUCAUAUUUAGAAAGGUUGACAAGAGACCCUCAUACAGUCUCAUCAAAUCAUAUCACUCAACAUUAAAUCACACCACUCCUGGGGAUGGCUAGCUGCGUCCUAGAUAAAAUCCCAUCAAAUCACACAUUCCUAAGAAUAACUGGCUACGCACCAGAUAAAAUAACAUCAACCACCAAAAAUCAGGUCGGACACCUUGGAAUUAUGCACCCA
This 608-nucleotide long non-coding RNA is filed under the name Elaeis guineensis (African oil palm). RNAcentral's name for it is "long non-coding RNA (EGUI_LNC000598)". The record is from RNAcentral. Lineage: Eukaryota; Viridiplantae; Streptophyta; Magnoliopsida; Arecales; Arecaceae.